UUCGAUUAUUAGAUACCCGUGUAGUCCUAGCCGUAAACGAUACUCGCUAGGUGUCGGCCACGGUGCGACCGUUGUCGGUGCCGUAGGGAAGCCGCGAAGCGAGCCACCUGGGAAGUACGGCCGCAAGGCUGAAACUUAAAGGAAUUGGCGGGGGAGCACCACAACGGGUGGAGCUUGCGGUUUAAUUGGAUUCAACGCCGGAAAUCUUACCGGGACCGACAGCAAUAUGAAGGCCAGGCUGAAGACUUUGCCGGAUUAGCUGAGAGGUGGUGCAUGGCA
Molecule: ribosomal RNA, 279 nt
Filed under: uncultured Methanosaeta sp.
Lineage: Archaea; Methanobacteriati; Methanobacteriota; Methanomicrobia; Methanotrichales; Methanotrichaceae
Description: partial 16S ribosomal RNA
Rfam family: Archaeal small subunit ribosomal RNA
Source: RNAcentral